Molecule: long non-coding RNA, 1161 nt
Organism: Ictalurus furcatus (blue catfish)
Lineage: Eukaryota; Metazoa; Chordata; Actinopteri; Siluriformes; Ictaluridae
Exons: 2
Source: RefSeq, a predicted model, not a curated record
AAGACUUGAAAUAUUUACUGGGAUAUGAGUUUAAUAGAUCCAACAGUACAGUACAGUACAGUACAGGGCUAAACGCAAGGAUUUAAAUGAGAAUAAAGUAAUGAUGCUCUGUUCCACUGUGGAUCCUGAAGGAGAUGAACACGCAGCCCCAGACCAUACCUAACCCCUGAUGGAUGGUGAAUGAGGGCAGAGUGUCCAGUUGUUGUUUUUAAUAUUGUGACUGAAGGAUAGAAGAGAGAACAGAGGAAAGAAAAUUGCCUUAAAUAAACCAGGACUGUAUAACAGUUCAGUAACAAUGCUUGGAUCGGGGGAAUGUGGGGAUUUGGGGAAGGAUGGAGGAGCUGAACACACAGCGCCAUCUAAUGCUGGAUUCCUAACAUGGUUCUGUGGGUCUGGGCAGAGGAUCAUUAUUGUAGGAUAAAGCGCACAAAAUAGGGUAGGUGGCGGUACUGCGCCAUUAACAACAAGAAGAAGAAGGAGAAGAAGAGAAAGCACUGGCAGAACAGCAUACACAGUCCUCGCUCUACUCACUACCUAUCGAACGGUGUGCAGAAGCUAUUGAGGACGUCAGAGUUGUGGAGGUGAACACACACAGUUGAAAGGUGUGUUAACUCUUCGGGCCCGUGAGCAUCGCCUGCGAGUUUCAGCAUGGUCAGGUUCACUAGUGUCCUCUUUCUCUCUUUACAGCAUGAAGGGAUUUGAUCUUACACACACACACAUACACACACACAACUGAAACACUGAGAGAACCUGUAGAGUCUCAGCUUUCAGACGAUCUCACACGUGGAGAACAUGAGCAUUUUAUAUAAUCUCUAAAUUGUAGAGAAGUUGCAGUUUGUGCUGUGGUGAAAAGUGAAAGUAAAGUGAAACGUGGUCUCCUCCUGUUCACAUAUUAAUGACAUGUUAAUGUCUUUCAGGAGCAGGAGUGAUGUCACGAGUGUGUGUUGGGUGUAAAUCAGGACAGGUACACGCUGAUGGAACACUCAGGUAGACUUUUGCACAGGAACCUUCUUGUGUUUUUACAGUAAUUCUAGUAAAUUGUGUACUGACUUAUGAUUGUGCACUAAAUCCCUACAAUACUACAUGUUCCUUUUAUUCUGAUCAUGUUAAUGUGCUGAAAUAAGUGAAUGUGUGUGUCCUACAAUAAAGUGAUCAAAUGUG